CUCAACAACCAUCAUCAGAUCACAAAAAUCCAAAAACGUUGACGGCCUCAUCUGUGGGCCCUUAUAGAUGUCGCUUGGCAUCUUGGAUCAAGAGCGAUUUCAUAUGAAAUUACGUUAUCAUGGCAGCAUUUAAAAUAGUGCAAGUCUUAUCUGUAGUUCAGAUUACUACGAAAUAUCGUUUGUACAAAGAAAAAAGAAAUACAUAACUUUGUGGUAUUAUUCCUUCGAUAGAUGUUUGACAUUUAAAAAGAAUACCACCAAUUUAAAAAACUUUUUGACAGGUAAUUUUUUUUUUUUAUUACAAGAGAGUUUCUCUGAUGAUUAAAGUCGGCCACUUGAAAAACUAGGAGUAAGAAGGAAGAAGGAAGCUUCCAUGCAAUUCCAUGUAAAAUUCCAAAACCUGCAGAGACGUAAGAAUCCGGGAAGCGUGUGAAACAUUUACCUGCGUUUUCUCUAGAAGCCCAUCUUUUCUUUUUAGUCCUCCAGAUCAAGAGAAUUAAACACAAAAAACCACCUACCUUCUAGAUUGACAGAGACAUUUCAAAUAUAAUAAACCCUUCGUUGUUAUCUCAUGUGUUUCUAUACCCUUGUUCCUUAUAUAUGUUUUUUCUAGUUGGAAUUAAAAUAUCUACUUCUGAACCCACUACCAUUACUAAUUCCUGGACCUUCUGCAGCUGCAAAAAGCACAGAUCUUGCUGGGAAAAAAGCACAGAUAUGAGCCUUCCAAAGUAUUCUCUUCUUCCUUCUUGUUGCUUCUGGUGGUUGUUUUUGCGUCUGGGAAAUCUUCAGCUGCUGAAGGAAGACCACUCUCCCUCUUGCCACAACAAGGAUAUGCGCAGGUUUUUGGUACACUUGGAAUAGUUUGCGAGUGUUGUGAUGGAGGUGAAUGCACAAGUACCUGGACUGGGUCUUGCAGUAAUCUGACAUGUCUUCCUUGGAAACAGCAUUAACAGCCCUAGAGAUUUUUUUUUUUUUUUUUGUUUUCUUUGGCUUUCUCUUCUUCUUCUAUAUACUUCGUAAAAUUAAUAUACUAGUGGAAUUAGAGGGUUAUUUUUCCCCUUUUAAGCUGUGUUAUGUAAAUCGUUAUUUUACAGCUAAGGGAGUUCUAUGAGUUCACUGUUU
Long non-coding RNA from Pyrus x bretschneideri (Chinese white pear), 1122 nucleotides. RefSeq lists it as uncharacterized. The transcript is spliced from 2 exons. The record is from RefSeq and is a predicted model, not a curated record. NCBI's taxonomy places the organism in Eukaryota, Viridiplantae, Streptophyta, Magnoliopsida, Rosales, Rosaceae.